This 407-nucleotide ribosomal RNA is filed under the name uncultured bacterium. RNAcentral's name for it is "partial 16S ribosomal RNA". It matches the Rfam family "Bacterial small subunit ribosomal RNA", at positions 28 to 526 of the family's 1533-position model. The record is from RNAcentral.
GACGAACGCUGGCGGCGUGCCUAAUACAUGCAAGUAGGACGCAGUUGCGAACGGGUGAGUAACUCGUAGGUAACUACCUAUUAGAGGGGGAUAACUAUUGGAAACGCUAGCUAAUACCGCAUACUAGUAGCUGGACCUGCGUUGUAUUAGCUAGUAGGUAGGGGAAUGGCCUACCUAGGCAACGAUACAUAGCCGACCCGAGAGGGUUAUCGGGCACAAUGGGACUUGGACAAGGCCCAGGAUCCUACGGGAGGCAGCAGGAGGGGAUCUUCGGCAAUGGGGGGAAAGCUGACCGAGGACCGGCGGGGGAGUGGAGAAGGUUUUCGGAUUGUAAAGCUCUUUUGUUAAGGAAGCGGUACUUAACCAGAAAGGGCCGGCUAACUACGUGCCAGCAGCCGCGGUAAUUC